Molecule: long non-coding RNA, 1123 nt
Organism: Cygnus olor (mute swan)
Lineage: Eukaryota; Metazoa; Chordata; Aves; Anseriformes; Anatidae
Exons: 3
Source: RefSeq, a predicted model, not a curated record
AAAAUGUGCUCACCUACUUCAGAACCAGCUUUCCAUGUAUUGGGUAACAAACAGGAGGAGAUUGCAAGGGGACCCUUACAGUUAGCAGGUUUAUGCAACUUGAUGUUUAAGCUGUUCCAUAGCCAGCUCACUGCCACCCCUCUCACAAGAAGCCUGUGGCCAUCCCUUGUCAUGACUAGGAGUGCACCCACCCCAUGCCAAAAAGGAACCAUUUCUGUCACCUUACAGGUUCAUCUGUUCAUAGUUGUUAACUGCAGCUGAAAUAUAGAGAAGACAACUGUAGAGAAGACUAAGGAGUGAAAAGCUUGCCGUAAUAAAUGAAGAACUCAGUAGCCUAAUUUGGUUCCCACCUAGCUAACACUAGAAAGUUGAGGAAAGAAGAUGAUGCUGAGACCCAGACAUAGGAUGAAGAAAGCUAAUACAACCAUGAUCAGAAGAUGCUAUACCAAUCUAAGUCCUGCUGAGAGGCACAGAGUGUUAUGUCUGUGCUGUGUGGUGUACCACGGAUGUCCUAGUUCAUGCCUCUGCUAGCUCUGUAUCUCUGAAUCCUAAUCCCUCACAAGGGUGUAAAUAAUCAUAAAGGAGCCUGUCUUGUCUAGCCUUAGAAGGGCUGAGAGGAGGCAGAACAGAGAAAAAUGUUGGCACAAGAAUAAUUUGCACAAACUGGUCUUUAGUAUAUUUCAGCUGAAAAUGUGUAGGGUUAUUUUAGAAUGUUGCCCAUGUAGUUCCUGAAGGGGAUUACACGGGGUGGUUGCCUCCAACAGUCGCAUGGCCCUGCCCUGUUCAGCCAGCCCUGGGGACAGAGCGUGCACCCAAGCAUGUAGGAGUGUUGGGGUCACGCUGAGCACUGAUCUCCCUUCUGCGCUGGCAGAGUCAGGCUGAUGUGUCAGCCCGGCUGCUUGUGUGCAGAUCAAGUGUAUCCUGGCAGCUGUCUAUCAAUGACCUUUGAGCUGAGGCUCUUCCCUGAGAUGGUACCAAGGCCACGCAGUACUUGUGGAUUUGAUGGUCUAAGAGGUUCCUUCCAGCCCUAUGUUCCAGUAACCACCAUGAGGUUUUCUAUAUUGCAGAACUAAAAAUGUCCAGGUUCAGAAGUGGAUUUUCUUCAUGAUUGAGCUGAGAUUUA